ACGCACUCCUACGGGAGGCAGCAGUAGGGAAUCUUCCGCAAUGGACGAAAGUCUGACGGAGCAACGCCGCGUGAGCGAUGAAGGCCUUCGGGUCGUAAAGCUCUGUUGUUAGGGAAGAAUAAGUACCGGAGUAACUGCCGGUACCUUGACGGUACCUAACCAGAAAGCCACGGCUAACUACGUGCCAGCAGCCGCGGUAAUACGUAGGUGGCAAGCGUUGUCCGGAAUUAUUGGGCGUAAAGCGCGCGCAGGCGGUCCUUUAAGUCUGAUGUGAAAGCCCACGGCUCAACCGUGGAGGGUCAUUGGAAACUGGGGACUUGAGUACAGAAGAGGAAAGCGGAAUUCCACGUGUAGCGGUGAAAUGCGUAGAGAUGUGGAGGAACACCAGUGGCGAAGGCGGCUUUCUGGUCUGUAACUGACGCUGAGGCGCGAAAGCGUGGGGAGCAAACAGGAUUAGAUACCCUGGUAG
Molecule: ribosomal RNA, 469 nt
Filed under: uncultured bacterium
Lineage: Bacteria
Description: bacterial SSU rRNA
Rfam family: Bacterial small subunit ribosomal RNA
Source: RNAcentral